GUUUUUUUUAAGGUUCUUCUGUGGUUCUCCCUGUCUCCCUAACCCUGGUGGUGGUGGUGCUGUUUGGAAUCGCUCUCUUCAUCUGUGUAAAAAACAGGAAGAGCAGGGGAAGAGACCUGUCCUCAAACCACAGGGACGCAGCUCAAGGCAACAAGAUAGCAACAGCUCAUGUGUAUGAAGAGAUUCAGAACACCACCAUCUCAGCAUCUGGACCCAACUCUGUCUAUGCCCUGGCUCAACUUCCCACAAACUCCUCCAGUGACUUGACCUACUUGACUGUCGAAUUACCCAUAAGCCCCAGAGAUGACCCCACAUACUCCAACCAGUAGAAGAAAUUCUGUAGAUCAUACAGGCUAUGUAAAUGGAUCACAGAAUGUACAGUACUGUAGUUCUCUCAUCUACUUAUAGAGGCCGCUUUUAUCAAGGGAGUGCGGAAAGGCAAGUCUAGGAAGGAGGUAAAAUGGUUGUCAUGACAACCAUAAACACAGUCCUCUAGACAUGUUAAGCCCAAACAUCCUGUUUACUGAUAACACAAAGUAGCAGUAAGCAAGAUUGAUAAGUGAUACAUGAUGUGUUAACUGUCUUAGA
This is a long non-coding RNA of Sardina pilchardus (European sardine), 588 nucleotides long. RefSeq lists it as uncharacterized. The transcript is spliced from 3 exons. Lineage: Eukaryota; Metazoa; Chordata; Actinopteri; Clupeiformes; Clupeidae. The record is from RefSeq and is a predicted model, not a curated record.